This 93-nucleotide small nuclear RNA is filed under the name Otolemur garnettii (small-eared galago). The record is from RNAcentral. Lineage: Eukaryota; Metazoa; Chordata; Mammalia; Primates; Galagidae.
GUGCUCACUUCAGCAGCACAUAUACUAAAACAGAGAUUAGCAUGGCCCCUGUGCAAGGAUGACCCACAAAUCCGUGAGGCAUGCCAUAUUUUU